GGAGCUUGCUCCCGGAUGUUAGCGGCGGACGGGUGAGUAACACGUGGGUAACCUGCCUGUAAGACUGGGAUAACUCCGGGAAACCGGAGCUAAUACCGGAUAGUUCCUUGAACCGCAUGGUUCAAGGAUGAAAGACGGUUUCGGCUGUCACUUACAGAUGGACCCGCGGCGCAUUAGCUAGUUGGUGAGGUAACGGCUCACCAAGGCGACGAUGCGUAGCCGACCUGAGAGGGUGAUCGGCCACACUGGGACUGAGACACGGCCCAGACUCCUACGGGAGGCAGCAGUAGGGAAUCUUCCGCAAUGGACGAAAGUCUGACGGAGCAACGCCGCGUGAGUGAUGAAGGUUUUCGGAUCGUAAAGCUCUGUUGUUAGGGAAGAACAAGUGCAAGAGUAACUGCUUGCACCUUGACGGUACCUAACCAGAAAGCCACGGCUAACUACGUGCCAGCAGCCGCGGUAAUACGUAGGUGGCAAGCGUUGUCCGGAAUUAUUGGGCGUAAAGGGCUCGCAGGCGGUUUCUUAAGUCUGAUGUGAAAGCCCCCGGCUCAACCGGGGAGGGUCAUUGGAAACUGGGAAACUUGAGUGCAGAAGAGGAGAGUGGAAUUCCACGUGUAGCGGUGAAAUGCGUAGAGAUGUGGAGGAACACCAGUGGCGAAGGCGACUCUCUGGUCUGUAACUGACGCUGAGGAGCGAAAGCGUGGGGAGCGAACAGGAUUAGAUACCCUGGUAGUCCACGCCGUAAACGAUGAGUGCUAAGUGUUAGGGGGUUUCCGCCCCUUAGUGCUGCAGCUAACGCA
Molecule: ribosomal RNA, 800 nt
Filed under: Bacillus sp. (in: firmicutes)
Lineage: Bacteria; Bacillati; Bacillota; Bacilli; Caryophanales; Bacillaceae
Description: bacterial SSU rRNA
Rfam family: Bacterial small subunit ribosomal RNA
Source: RNAcentral